UUAGGAAUAUUCGUCAAUGGGGGAAACCCUGAACGAGCAAUGCCGCGUGAGUGAUGGCGGUCCUUUGGAUUGUAAAACUCUGUUGUAUGAAAAAAUGACUAGGUUAGGAAAUGAACCUAGUGUGAUGGUACCAUACCAGAAAGUCCCGGCUAACUACGUGCCAGCAGCCGCGGUAAUACGUAGGGGGCGAGCGUUAUCCGGAUUUAUUGGGCGUAAAGCGUGUGUAGGCGGUUUGUUAAGUUUAAGAUUAAAGCCUGGGGCUCAACUCCAGUUCGUCUUAAAAACUGGCAGACUAGAGUGCGGUAGAGGCAAACGGAAUUUCUAGUGUAGCGGUGAAAUGCGUAGAUAUUAGAAGGAACACCAGUGGCGAAAGCGGUUUGCUGGGCCGUUACUGACGCUGAGGCACGAAAGCGUGGGGAGCAAAUAGGAUUAGAUACCCUGGUAGU
This 446-nucleotide ribosomal RNA is filed under the name uncultured bacterium. Its description in RNAcentral is "bacterial SSU rRNA". It matches the Rfam family "Bacterial small subunit ribosomal RNA", at positions 355 to 794 of the family's 1533-position model. The record is from RNAcentral.